This 309-nucleotide ribosomal RNA is filed under the name uncultured bacterium. RNAcentral's name for it is "bacterial SSU rRNA". It matches the Rfam family "Bacterial small subunit ribosomal RNA", at positions 28 to 334 of the family's 1533-position model. The record is from RNAcentral.
GACGAACGCUGGCGGCGCGCCUAACACAUGCAAGUCGAACGAGCGAGAGAGAGUUUGCUUUCUCGAGCGAGUGGCGAACGGGUGAGUAACGCGUGAGGAACCUGCCUCAAAGAGGGGGACAACAGUUGGAAACGACUGCUAAUACCGCAUAAUGUCAUUCGGAGGCAUCUCUGAGUGACCAAAGAUUUAUUGCUGAAAGAUGACCUCGCGUCUGAUUAGCUGGUUGGUGAGGUAAUGGCUCACCAAGGCGACGAUCAGUAGCCGGACUGAGAGGUUGAACGGCCACAUUGGGACUGAGAUACGGCCCAG